GCCCGCGCGCGGGGUCCGGUGACGUCACCUCGCCGUGACGCGCAGGCUGUAGGAAAACUGACAAAUUAAAAGAAUUUACCAUGUAUCUUAUGACUCUUUUCUGGAGCCUUGGGACUUUGAUAAAGAUGAAUGCCAUACUCAACCAAAAGUGAAAAUGUGAAGUCGAGAAGAUGUUUGCUAAGUCAAGCCACUUCACGUUUUCACCAGCCAUCCAGAUGUCUAACCAAGGAGUGUGGAUGAUCUGCUCAGCUUUGAAGGAUUCUCUAGGAGAAAGGGAAGAGAGAGAAACUAAAAUGUAUCAGGU
RNAcentral lists this long non-coding RNA (304 nucleotides) under Catagonus wagneri (Chacoan peccary). RNAcentral describes it as "lncRNA (ENSCWAG00000013922.1)". Lineage: Eukaryota; Metazoa; Chordata; Mammalia; Artiodactyla; Tayassuidae. The record is from RNAcentral.